CGGAUUCCACAACUACUCUAUCC
This 23-nucleotide non-coding RNA is filed under the name Arabidopsis thaliana (thale cress). Lineage: Eukaryota; Viridiplantae; Streptophyta; Magnoliopsida; Brassicales; Brassicaceae. The record is from RNAcentral.